This 444-nucleotide ribosomal RNA is filed under the name uncultured bacterium. RNAcentral's name for it is "bacterial SSU rRNA". It matches the Rfam family "Bacterial small subunit ribosomal RNA", at positions 28 to 483 of the family's 1533-position model. The record is from RNAcentral.
GACGAACGCUGGCGGCGUGCUUAACACAUGCAAGUCGAACGAUGAAGCUGGAGCUUGCUCCGGUGGAUUAGUGGCGAACGGGUGAGUAACACGUGAGCAAUCUGCCCUUGACUCUGGGAUAACUGCGGGAAACUGUAGCUAAUACCGGAUACGACACCUUGGGGCAUCCCAGGGUGUGGAAAGAAUUUCGGUCAAGGAUGAGCUCGCGGCCUAUCAGCUAGUUGGUGAGGUAAUGGCUCACCAAGGCGACGACGGGUAGCCGGCCUGAGAGGGUGACCGGCCACACUGGAACUGAGACACGGUCCAGACUCCUACGGGAGGCAGCAGUGGGGAAUAUUGCACAAUGGGCGAAAGCCUGAUGCAGCAACGCCGCGUGAGGGAUGAAGGGCCUUCGGUUGUAAACCGUCUUUAGUCAGGAAGAAGCGAAAGUAGACGGUACCGUGC